This 75-nucleotide transfer RNA is filed under the name Ascosphaera apis ARSEF 7405. RNAcentral's name for it is "tRNA-Tyr (GTA) (tRNA-Tyr-GTA-1 1 to 5)". It matches the Rfam family "tRNA". From Rfam's summary of the family: Transfer RNA (tRNA) molecules are approximately 80 nucleotides in length. Their secondary structure includes four short double-helical elements and three loops (D, anti-codon, and T loops). Lineage: Eukaryota; Fungi; Ascomycota; Eurotiomycetes; Onygenales; Ascosphaeraceae. RNAcentral also lists the same sequence under 2 other names. The record is from RNAcentral.
CUCCUGAUGGUGUAGUUGGUUCAUCACGUUCGGCUGUAAACCGAAAGGUCCCUAGUUCGAUUCUGGGUCAGGAGA